AUUGAUCGCUGGCGGCAUGCCUUACACAUGCAAGUCGAACGGCAGCAUGGAGAGCUUGCUCUCUGAUGGCGAGUGGCGAACGGGUGAGUAAAGCAUCGGAACGUACCGUGUAGUGGGGGAUAACGUAGCGAAAGUUACGCUAAUACCGCAUACGCACUGAGGUGGAAAGCAGGGGAUCGUAAGACCUUGCGCUAUACGAGCGGCCGAUGUCAGAUUAGCUAGUUGGUAGGGUAAAGGCCUACCAAGGCGACGAUCUGUAGCGGGUCUGAGAGGAUGAUCGGCGACACGGGGACUGAGACACGGCCCAGACUCCUACGGGAGGCAGCAGUGGGGAAUUUUGGACAAUGGGGGCAACCCUGAUCCAGCCAUGCCGCGUGAGUGAAGAAGGCCUUCGGGUUGUAAAGCUCUUUCGGCCGGGAAGAAAUCGCACAGGCUAAUACCCUGUGUGGAUGACGGUACCGGCAUAAGAAGCACCGGCUAACUACGUGCCAGCAGCCGCAGUAA
This 504-nucleotide ribosomal RNA is filed under the name uncultured bacterium. Its description in RNAcentral is "partial 16S ribosomal RNA". It matches the Rfam family "Bacterial small subunit ribosomal RNA", at positions 30 to 523 of the family's 1533-position model. The record is from RNAcentral.